GACGAACGCUGGCGGCGUGCCUAAUACAUGCAAGUCGAACGCUGAAGAGAGGAGCUUGCUCUUCUUGGAUGAGUUGCGAACGGGUGAGUAACGCGUAGGUAACCUGCCUUGUAGCGGGGGAUAACUAUUGGAAACGAUAGCUAAUACCGCAUAACAAUGGAUGACACAUGUCAUUUAUUUGAAAGGGGCAAUUGCUCCACUACAAGAUGGACCUGCGUUGUAUUAGCUAGUAGGUGAGGUAAUGGCUCACCUAGGCGACGAUACAUAGCCGACCUGGGAGGGUGAUCGGCCACACUGGGACUGAGACACGGCCCAGACUCCUACGGGAGGCAGCAGUAGGGAAUCUUCGGCAAUGGGGGCAACCCUGACCGAGCAACGCCGCGUGAGUGAAGAAGGUUUUCGGAUCGUAAAGCUCUGUUGUAAGUCAAGAACGGGUGUGAGAGUGGAAAGUUCACACUGUGACGGUAGCUUACCAGAAAAGGACGGCGAACUACGG
RNAcentral lists this ribosomal RNA (496 nucleotides) under uncultured bacterium. Its description in RNAcentral is "partial 16S ribosomal RNA". It matches the Rfam family "Bacterial small subunit ribosomal RNA", at positions 28 to 506 of the family's 1533-position model. The record is from RNAcentral.